Bactrocera dorsalis (oriental fruit fly) is the source of this 4201-nucleotide RNA transcript. It is a transcript of the gene named CKLF-like MARVEL transmembrane domain-containing protein 4, with no coding region annotated. The record is from RefSeq and is a predicted model, not a curated record. NCBI's taxonomy places the organism in Eukaryota, Metazoa, Arthropoda, Insecta, Diptera, Tephritidae. The transcript has 5 exons.
UAUAUUAUUAAUAUUUAUUUUUAUUUUACAUUAAAAAUGGAUACAACAUUGUAUAACCACGUGUAAAAGUAUUCCUCUCGUUUUUAUAUACAUACAUAUAUAAUGUAAAGUUGUGUGCGGUGCAUUUUUACAUAUGUACAUAUGUACCAAUGCAAGUACACUUUAAUAUAAUAUAUAAGCUUAUACAAAUUAAUGUGCUAACGUAGUUAAUAUUGUUAAUGUUUAAUUAUUGCAAUCGCGCUUUAUUAGUUACAGUGAAAUCACUGAUGGGUAUGAAAAAUUCUUAUUGAAUUGUGUUAAAUAUAGUUUUAGAAUAAUGGAACAGGAUGCACUUGUUGCCUAAAGAACCAGAUUAAAAAAAGAGAGGAAAGAACUCUCUAACGCAGAACGUCAGAGUCAUUCAAUUUAAAAUUAUUUAUAAGUUUGAAAAUAGGCUUGGUACCAUCCACUUGGCCUGCACCUGCAGCUGGAUUUGGCCCUUCCUUGCUUGCUUCUUAUUUUUUCUACUGUUAGCGUAUUCUUUAAUGCUUUCAGAAAUUGCUAUGUCAGUUGAUAUACGUAAUUACAACGAAAACAACCAAAAUUUAAACAACAACAACAAGGACGAUAAUAAUAAUAACAAAAACACCGAAUACAGCCCGUCGGUCGCUAAUGAAUCCCGUUUCCUAAACGCUUUUUCGGAAGAAAAACGAUCGCUCUCCGUGGAGCAAGCGAGGGAUGACGUUAUGCCCUCGUCGGUUGCUAAUGAAUCCAGUUUCAUAAACGUUUUUUCGGGAGAAAAACGAUCGUUCUCCGAGGAGCAAACGAGGGAUGACGUUAUGCCCUCGUCGGUUGCUAAUGAAUCCCGUUUCAUAAACGUUUUUUCGGGAGAAAAACGAUCGUUCUCCGAGGAGCAAACGAGGGAUGACGUUAUGCCCUCGUCGGUUGCUAAUGAAUCCCGUUUCAUAAACGUUUUUUCGGGAGAAAAACGAUCGUUCUCGGAGGAGCAAAUGAGGGAUGACGUUAUGCCCUCGUCGGUUGCUAAUGAAUUCUGUUUCCUAAACGCUUUUUCGGAAGAAAAACAAUCGCUCUCCGAGAAGCAAGCGAGGGAUGACGUUAUGCCCUCGUCGGUUGGUAAUGAAUCCCGUUUCAUAAACGUUUUUUCGGGAGAAAAACGAUCGCUCUCCGAGGAGCAAACGAGGGAUGACGUUAUGCCCUCUACCAGUGGGGUCUCGGUAGGUACACUUUGUGAAUCGCUCGCCGUAAGCACGUCCAACGCGAAGAAUGAUGGUAAAGAGAAAACAACAAUACUGUCCUCUAGCACAACAAUACCGUGCUCAAAAUCAGAAGAAUCACACCGGCCCUGCAAUGGAAUGGCGUCUAAAAGGAAGAGGGAGAGGAAGAGAAAAAGGGGAGGCAAACGUGGAGGGCUGAACGGUUCCCGCAAAGUGGGAAUGAGUGGUGCUACCGUCAAGUGGUACUUCAGGCAUCUGAAAGCGGGAAAAUCGCCUGAGGAGGCAAGUGAGCUUGCGUUGGGAAGGAAUAAAAUUGCGCUAGCGGUAGAGAAAAGUAGCCCAGUUACCGCAAUCUCGAGCAGGGUGGUAGGCGGGUGCGCGCCCUAUCAAGAUAGAAAGGGUGGUGCUGAGAAACGCAAGAUAACAGCAGAGGAGUUACCCAGCCUAAAAAAGCAGAAACAGAAUCUUCAUGAACAGCCGACGCAGUUGAAAGAAGAGCAAAACACUGUUCCAAAAACAGGCAUUCGGAUAGCCGUGCUACCUCUCAAUUAUCCUGUGGAAGCAAUGGAUCCACAACAACUUACUGUACUUGAAGAUAAAAUCAUGGACGAGGUGUACAAGGGGUGGAAACACGCUCUCUGCUUUUGCGGAGUGUUUUUUAGGUCGGGACUGUUACUUGUAGACUGCAAUAAUGAAGAGACCGCCACCUGGCUGGCGGAGGUUGCUCCGAAGCUUGAGGGGUGGGAAGGUCCAUUGCUCAGUGCGAGAAGAGGGGAAGAGAUACCACGGAUGUACAAAAUGAGAUCACGCCUACACAAUAGCGCCCAUAAAUCUGUGGACUACGCCUUAGGUCUUUUAAGAGUGCAAAAUGAGGGCAUCUAUCCCAAGGCUUGGCAAAUAAUUACCAGCGACAUUGAGGACUCAAGUCUGAAAAUCAUCGUCGGUAUCGAUGAGGAGUCCUACAUGCAAAUUAAAAAACAAGGUUUCCGCCUGAACUACCGGUUCAGUGCGAUUUUCAUGCGGCCUUUAAAGCCAAUGUCAAAAGUUGAAAGAGCAGGGGUGUCUGAACCUGUGUAUUGGUGAGUGAGAAACAUUCUUCUCUACUCAGGAGCUCAUGGAGGGCUCAACCUACAUAAAAAGUGACACCGCGUAUAUAAUAUAAUACAAUAUAAUAUAAUAUCAUUCAUUCCAUGAACUGGAUUUUUUUUGUUUUAAAUUCGGUUGUGUUUUUAUAACUGAAAGACUUGAACUUGUAUUGGCUAAUUUGCUAUCUAAUAAAAACUGUCUGAUAUUCCCUAAUUCUUUUUGGAGAGUGGCGAAUCGUCCAAACAAUGAAAUAUACAAGUUCUUAAUCGCAUAACAAAGACAUAUAGAGCGUAUUUUUUUUUUGUGGAUAUCUUCACUAGUGCAAGGAAGUAUUUUAAAUUACAUAGAGAAAAUGAGAAUACAGCUAUUGCUGGACCGAAAAUAAAACAAUUUCUGAAGGCUUUAAUUGGUCUGGCUUCUCGAUAUUCUGACACAUAUCGAGGGACAAUCAGAGAGCUUUCGAUAACUUAAUCUAAAGAUAAAGAGGAGGAAGACGGCUGAAUCGUAGGAAUUGGCCCGCUGAUGCUUCAGCAAAAAAAGAACUCAAACCCUUUUUGUGAACUCAGUUAAUUAUCUUGAUUCUUGAUUGGGUUGCUGCAGAAUGCACUUCAUACUAGGAAACAGUUGAGAUGUAAAAACAGGCAAUGAGCUACGGAAAGAAGAGGAUGUCGGCAAUGUAUACGGAACUAGACCGCAGAUGCUUCAGCAAGGAAGAACAAAUCUUGUUUUGUGGAUCUUGAUGCCUAAUUGAGUUGCUGCGCACUUAAUACAGAAUACUGAAAAACAAUUGAGAUUCGAAACCCGACACAUACUUCAGAAACUGGAGGAGGGCGGCGAUAUCGAAGGAGUUGGACCUCAUUAAGAAAGAGAACCAAUCUUGUGUUUUGGAUCUUGAUGCCUGAUUGGGUUGCUACGGAAAACCGACACGUACUAGACGUAGAACGUAGAGGGCGGCGGCGAUAUCUAAGAAACUGGACCGCAGAAACAUUUGCAAGAUAGAACCAAACGCAACUUCGAUUAUACGCUGCUAGAGCUCUCGUUUGGCGCAGUGAUAUCAGCUAAAAGCGAAAACAUUCAAUUCGCUGCGGAAUGCCAAAGCCAAAUUUUAAUCUCACCGAUGCAACGAAUUCAUGGAGUCUCACAUAAAGUUGAACGAGAGCGCCACAGCCGAAACCAAGCGAAGCGAAAUGAGCAACAGUUGCCCACGACACAAUUUGACUUAGAGAGGUUGUCCAAACUCUGAAAUAGCUUAUAGCCGCGGCUAGCGGCUAGUGGCCUCAACACCAUCAACAAUCAGUUGCAAUAACGCGUUCAAACGAUUAAGAUCGGUACGGAACGCCAGUUGCUCCUGUUGUUGUGCCUGCUGGCUCCGUCAUUCCCAUUUAGUUACAAACUAGUUAGUUAGUGUGUGAGUGCGCUAUAUACAUCCAUAACUUGACCGGCCGUCUUUUUUCGCGCUUACUUGAUUUUGUUUUGAACCGCGAUCACGCUACAGUGGAGUUCAUUGUCUAAAACCAACUUAAAGCUCAAACAAAAACUCUACAAACCGUUAGUUACGACUAAGCAGUGAGACUAUAUGGCUAUUAGCUACACAUAAGUCGAUUACUAAAAAGUCAUAUGCAUACAAAUGUGUCUGUCUGUAGAUAUAUAAUUACAUAUGCAUGUACAGUAUGUAUGCAAAGUGCGAAAGUUGCGCGUCAGUGAAUCUCUAAUAAAUGCGUAAAACAAAAACAAUUACAAAAAAUAAAAACAAAAAACUAUAGGAAAUUCGAAACCUUGUCGCUUUUAAUCUAAAAGAAACUCCCUUUUCUCUUGUGCUAUUAUUUUCUAGUUAACCUAAGUGUACCCACUUCUGCAUCGAAGUUUUAUUAAAAGAAAGCAGCAAAAAAAAAAAAACAAAA